RNAcentral lists this ribosomal RNA (460 nucleotides) under uncultured bacterium. RNAcentral's name for it is "partial 16S ribosomal RNA". It matches the Rfam family "Bacterial small subunit ribosomal RNA", at positions 338 to 795 of the family's 1533-position model. The record is from RNAcentral.
CCUACGGGUGACAGCAGUGAGGAAUAUUGGUCAAUGGGCGAGAGCCUGAACCAGCCAAGUCGCGUGAAGGAUGACGGCCCUACGGGUUGUAAACUUCUUUUGUCAGGGAGCAAGUCGGGCCACGCGUGGGCUUAUCGAGAGGACCUGAAGAAAAAGCACCGGCUAACCCCGUGCCAGCAGCCGCGGUAAUACGGAGGAUGCGAGCGUUAUCCGGAUUUAUUGGGUUUAAAGGGUGCGUAGGCGGAAUAUCAAGUCAGCGGUAAAACUUCGGGGCUCAACCCCGUCGUGCCGUUGAAACUGGUGUUCUUGAGUGGGCGAGAAGUAUGCGGAAUGCGUGGUGUAGCGGUGAAAUGCAUAGAUAUCACGCAGAACUCCGAUUGCGAAGGCAGCAUACCGGCGCGCAACUGACGCUGAGGCACGAAAGCGUGGGUAUCGAACAGGAUUAGAUACCCGGGUAGUC